This 253-nucleotide ribosomal RNA is filed under the name uncultured bacterium. RNAcentral describes it as "partial 16S ribosomal RNA". It matches the Rfam family "Bacterial small subunit ribosomal RNA", at positions 524 to 776 of the family's 1533-position model. The record is from RNAcentral.
UACGGGGGGGGCAAGCGUUGUUCGGAAUUACUGGGCGUAAAGGGCUCGUAGGUGGCCAACUAAGUCAGAUGUGAAAUCCCCAGGCUCAACUUGGGAACUGCGUCUGAUACUGGAUGGCUUGAAUUCGGGAGAGGGAUGCAGAAUUCCAGGUGUAGCGGUGAAAUGCGUAGAUAUCUGGAGGAAUACCGGUGGCGAAGGCGGCAUCCUGGACCGAGAUUGACACUGAUGAGCGAAAGCUAGGGGAGCAAACAGG